This 437-nucleotide ribosomal RNA is filed under the name uncultured Glomus. Its description in RNAcentral is "SSU rRNA". It matches the Rfam family "Eukaryotic small subunit ribosomal RNA", at positions 569 to 1011 of the family's 1831-position model. Lineage: Eukaryota; Fungi; Glomeromycota; Glomeromycetes; Glomerales; Glomeraceae. The record is from RNAcentral.
AGCAGCCGCGGUAAUUCCAGCUCCAAUAGCGUAUAUUAAAGUUGUUGCAGUUAAAAAGCUCGUAGUUGAAUUUCGGGAUCAUCAGGUUGGUCGUGCCUCUGGUAUGUACUGAUUUCGAUGGUUCCUCCUUCUUGAAGAUCCGUAAUGCCAUUAAUUUGGUGUUGCGGGGAAUCAGGACUGUUACUUUGAAAAAUUAGAGUGUUUAAAGCAGGCAAUCGCUUGAAUACAUUAGCAUGGAAUAAUGAAAUAGGACGUUUGAUCCUAUUUUGUUGGUUUCUAGGAUUGACGUAAUGAUUAAUAGGGAUAGUUGGGGGCAUUAGUAUUCAAUUGUCAGAGGUGAAAUUCUUGGAUUUAUUGAAGACUAACUACUGCGAAAGCAUUUGCCAAGGAUGUUUUCAUUAACCAAGAACGAAAGUUAGGGGAUCGAGGACGAUCAG